UUUUCCUUGUUCCUGGUCAACAAAGAAAUGUGGAGUGUCUUGGCUGAAUCCUCAUACAGACAAGAUCAUUAUGGUGCUGUUAGGUAGGACUUGUAUCCAGAUGUAAGGUCUCACUCUGUCACCGAGGCUGGAGUACAGUGGUGCAAUCACAGCUCACGGCAGCUUCAAACUCCUGGGCUCAAGCGAUCCUCCUGCCUCACCCUCCCGAGUAGCUGAGACUACAGGCUAACUAGCUCUGCUGCAUGUUCAUGGGACGUGGACCAAACCAAGGAACUCAAGGUGUCUGAGAGCGGGAGCAGAGCAAUAGGCCCAGAGGGAAGAAAUCUCUGCCAGGCUACGUUGUUUUCUGUGGCCUCUGAUAAAUGCAGAGUAGCCACAACAGCAGACUGGUCAUAGUUCCAGCUCACAUUCUGGAUUCCAACAGCCUGCCGUACUCCGGAGUUGUGACCAUCUGCACCUAUCAACAAUUUGGUCUGGAAGGUGCUGCCAUCACCUAGGGUAAUAUGAACCCAAGGGCUGGAGUCGGCCAUAGGAAAUGGACAAGGCCAGGUAUAGCGAAUGGCUUUGCUCCUGUAGAGAACCGUCACUCGGUCUGGGGAGGUCAAAAGAGAGGAAAAAAAAUUAGAAAGGUGGGCCACAUAGGCUGAGGAAAAAGCCAUAACUAAACCUAAAGCAAGGUCCCAGGACAGCAGUGUCUUGUCAUUUAAGAUUAAAAAAAUCAGUAAUU
Molecule: long non-coding RNA, 727 nt
Filed under: Homo sapiens (human)
Lineage: Eukaryota; Metazoa; Chordata; Mammalia; Primates; Hominidae
Description: non-protein coding lnc-ENTPD5-5:4
Source: RNAcentral